Molecule: ribosomal RNA, 200 nt
Filed under: uncultured bacterium
Lineage: Bacteria
Description: partial 16S ribosomal RNA
Rfam family: Bacterial small subunit ribosomal RNA
Source: RNAcentral
AGAGUUUGAUCAUGGCUCAGGACAAACGCUGGCGGCGUGCCUAACACAUGCAAGUCGAACGCCCUGCUUUCGGGCAGGGAGUGGCGGACGGGUGAGCAACACGUGGCUACCUACCCCUAAGUGAGGAAUACCGGCGAGAAAUCGCCGACAAGACCGCAUACGCUUCGCAAGAAGCAAAGCCGCAAGGCGCUUGGGGAGGG